Molecule: RNA transcript, 1920 nt
Organism: Triticum aestivum (bread wheat)
Lineage: Eukaryota; Viridiplantae; Streptophyta; Magnoliopsida; Poales; Poaceae
Exons: 4
Source: RefSeq, a predicted model, not a curated record
UCUCUUGCUCACUCGCUCACUCUCUGGCUUGCCCCAGUCGAAUCCCUAGCUCGCCGCUGCCGCCGCCGCCUCUCCCUCGCACUCGUCGCCAGCGCCUCUCCGUCGCCCGUGUUGCCGACGCCUCUCCGUCGCCCGCGUCGCUCUGCCUCUCCCUCACGCGUCGUCGCCGCCACUCCAUUGGCCCUCUCGUCCUCACCCCUUCAGGACCCCAUUUUUACUUUCCGAUAGGUGGAUCCGAAGCGCGGCGGCUCGACCUGCAACGCCGUCAGCUGCGGCUUUAAUCUGGAGCUCCAUGGCGUCGCACAAGUGUGGCGGCCAGAUGGAGCGGAUUCAUUGCUCCUGCGUGCACCGGGCGCUCCGCGGCCUCAUGUUCAGCAGCAGCAACAAGGCCAGCAACGGCUGGAGGGAGGUGCAGGGUAACUUCAUCCCCUUCUGCUGUUGCCCAAUGUCGAGGACGGUCCAGGAGCCGCCGCUCGUCCUGGCGGUGGACGACAGCCUCGUCGACUGCGUGGUCAUCUCCUGGAUCCUCCGCAGCUCCAAAUACAGAGGUGGACACAUUGCUGGAGCCGUGUGGCACUCCUAAUGGUCUCAAGCAUACUCCCGUAAAACAUUUGGAGUACAUUUGUUGGUUGAAGUACCAAGAUAUUGGUGGAACUUCAUUCAAGGAGUAAAACAUUUCCAGUACCAAGAUUGCAGUAAAUUUUGUGGAACUUCACUGCUUGAGACCAUGUUAAUGAUGAUGCUUGUGCAGUACCAAGAUUCAGUAUCAGUAGCCGAGUGUUGGUUGAAGUGACUGUUCAAUUGUUCAGUGUCCGUUUUGUUAUCUUCAUUUCAGAAAUUUAUCUUUCCAUUCCUUCUUCCUAUCCUUCAUGUAGGGACUAUACUGCUUUACUUCAAACAAGUUUUCUUUAAAACCAAACGAAUUAGGACUUACAUUUUAGUUUAAAGUUUAUGCGCCUAAUUUAAAGUUUAAUUUCCCAGUAGAUUUUGAAUGUCUUUUCUUGGUUCUCUACCAGAAAACACACUACUCCAUUUUCUGGUGAUACUUAUCUGGUGAUCACAAGAUAUAAAUCCACUAUUACCAGUACCAUUAUCUGGUGAUCACAGAACCAUUUGAAAAUGAUCAAAAUGUACUCCUUUUCAGUUAAUAUAGAGUACUGAAACUGAAAAUGUGCAUACUGAAACUGAAACUGAUCAAAUGGAGUACAAAACCAUUUGAAAACGACCAAGAUGAUCAAAAUGGUCAAAUGGAGUACUCCUCAAUUAACGUAGAGUAGUUACAGUAAUUAUCAUAUCAUCUUGCCCUCUUUAAUAGUCAAUCAACUGUCACUAAUCGAGUGUUGUUUACUCCAACAAUUAUCUUAUUUUUAAUUGUCACUCCUACAAGCAUUUCUUUCUCUUCUCUUUCUGGCUAAUCACUCCACACAAUUUAAAUGAUCAUUCAAGUUCCUUUUGCAAAUUCAAGUUUUUGUAAUGAACUACUUAUAAGAUGGAGUAUGUUCCUUUUGCCUCCCUUGUUAAGCAGUAGUUGUAGAGUACUCCUUUUCAAGAUGUCACCAAGAGUGGCUCCGACUGAGUUAUCACCAAGAGGGGGUCGGCACAGAUUUGUCACCUCUUCAAGCGUCAUGGCAUGUCGGCGCUUGUCACCUCUUCUGGGCCAAAAUCUAACUUUGAAUCAUGCGACCAGUAUGAGCCAGAGCUAUUUCCUGGUUUGAUUUCUCCUGGGUGUACUAUGCUUUCUAGUGUCUGAUCUGAUGGCAAGAAUACUGUGUCGACGGUCAACCUGGACUGUAAAUUGGAUCUGAAAGCAAUAGCUCUCCAGGCAUGCAAUGCAGAGUAUAACCGCAAGGUAAAAUCAUUAUCCUAAGGCAUUCAUAAUGAUGUUUGAUUUUUUUCUCUUAUUGGGCUCGUGAUGCUAUA